RNAcentral lists this microRNA precursor (63 nucleotides) under Marmota monax (woodchuck). Lineage: Eukaryota; Metazoa; Chordata; Mammalia; Rodentia; Sciuridae. The record is from RNAcentral.
UAUUAUGGAUUAGUAAAGAAAGAGGUUUCUUAAGCUGGAAUCUACUCCUAAAGAUGCUAUGAA